RNAcentral lists this ribosomal RNA (271 nucleotides) under uncultured prokaryote. Its description in RNAcentral is "partial 16S ribosomal RNA". It matches the Rfam family "Bacterial small subunit ribosomal RNA", at positions 524 to 794 of the family's 1533-position model. The record is from RNAcentral.
UACGUAGGUGGCGAGCGUUGUCCGGAUUUACUGGGCGUAAAGGGAGCGUAGGCGGACUUUUAAGUGAGAUGUGAAAUACCCGGGCUCAACUUGGGUGCUGCAUUUCAAACUGGAAGUCUAGAGUGCAGGAGAGGAGAAUGGAAUUCCCAGUGUAGCGGUGAAAUGCGUAGAUAUUGGGAAGAACACCGGUGGCGAAGGCGACUUGCUGGGCAGCAACUGACGCUGAGGCGCGAAAGCCAGGGGAGCAAACGGGAUUAGAUACCCCCGUAGU